RNAcentral lists this unclassified non-coding RNA (323 nucleotides) under uncultured Aspergillus. Its description in RNAcentral is "sequence contains ITS1". The stretch from base 1 to 105 matches the Rfam family "5.8S ribosomal RNA", at positions 50 to 154 of the family's 154-position model. The record is from RNAcentral. Lineage: Eukaryota; Fungi; Ascomycota; Eurotiomycetes; Eurotiales; Aspergillaceae.
GAAAUGCGAUAAGUAAUGUGAAUUGCAGAAUUCAGUGAAUCAUCGAGUCUUUGAACGCACAUUGCGCCCUCUGGUAUUCCGGGGGGCAUGCCUGUCCGAGCGUCAUUGCUGCCCUCAAGCACGGCUUGUGUGUUGGGUCCCCCGUCCCGGUUCUCCAGCCGGGACGGGCCCGAAAGGCAGCGGCGGCACCGUGUCCGGUCCUCGAGUGUAUGGGGCUCUGUCACCCACUCGUGUAGGCCCGGCCGGCGGCCAGCCUCUUCAACCAAAACGUUUUUUUUAACCAGGUUGACCUCGGAUCAGGUAGGGAUACCCGCUGAACUUAA